This 484-nucleotide ribosomal RNA is filed under the name Listeria monocytogenes. RNAcentral's name for it is "bacterial LSU rRNA". It matches the Rfam family "Bacterial large subunit ribosomal RNA", at positions 1961 to 2444 of the family's 2925-position model. The record is from RNAcentral. Lineage: Bacteria; Bacillati; Bacillota; Bacilli; Caryophanales; Listeriaceae.
GAAAUUCCUUGUCGGGUAAGUUCCGACCCGCACGAAAGGCGCAACGAUCUGGGCACUGUCUCAACGAGAGACUCGGUGAAAUUAUAGUACCUGUGAAGAUGCAGGUUACCCGCGACAGGACGGAAAGACCCCGUGGAGCUUUACUGCAACCUGAUAUGGAAUGUUUGUACCGCUUGUACAGGAUAGGUAGGAGCCGAAGAGACGUGUGCGCUAGCAUACGAGGAGGCAAUGGUGGGAUACUACCCUGGCUGUAUGACCAUUCUAACCCGCCACGCUUAGCGCGUGGGGAGACAGUGUCAGGUGGGCAGUUUGACUGGGGCGGUCGCCUCCUAAAGAGUAACGGAGGCGCCCAAAGGUUCCCUCAGAAUGGAUGGAAAUCAUUCGCAGAGUGUAAAGGCACAAGGGAGCUUGACUGCGAGACUGACAAGUCGAGCAGGGACGAAAGUCGGGCUUAGUGAUCCGGUGGUUCCGCAUGGAAGGGCCA